CAAGUCGAACGAGGUAGCAAUACCGAGUGGCGGACGGGUGAGUAAUACAUAGGCAACCUGCCCAACAGUGGGGGAUACCCAGUCGAAAGAUUGGCUAAUACCGCAUACGAUCCAUGACUGGGAUGUCAUGGAUGAAAGAUUUAUCGCUGUUGGAUGGGCCUGUGGUGGAUUAGCUAGUUGGUGGGGUAACGGCCCACCAAGGCGACGAUCCAUAGCUGGUCUGAGAGGAUGAUCAGCCACACUGGGACUGAGACACGGCCCAGACUCCUACGGGAGGCAGCAGUGGGGAAUUUUCCGCAAUGGGCGAAAGCCUGACGGAGCGACGCCGCGUGGAGGAUGAAGGAUUUCGGUCUGUAAACUCCUGUCAGGGGGGACGAUGAUGACGGUACCCCCAAAGGAAGCAUCGGCUAACUACGUGCCAGCAGCCGCGGUAAUACGUAGGAUGCAAGCGUUGUUCGGAAUUAUUGGGCGUAAAGCGUGCGUAGGCGGCUUGUUAAGUCUGGUGUGAAAGCUAGGGGCUCAACCCCUGUGUUGCACUGGAAACUGGCAGGCUUGAGUGCGGUAGGGGAAGGUGGAAUUCCGAGUGUAGCGGUGAAAUGCGUAGAUAUUCAGAAGAACACCGGUGGCGAAGGCGACCUUCUGGGCCGCCACUGACUCUGAGGCACGAAAGCGUGAGGAGCAAACGGGAUUAGAUACCCCGGUAGUCCACGCUGUAAACGAUGAUCACUAGGUGUUGGGGGUAUCGACCCCCCCAGUGCCGUAGCUAACGCGUUAAGUGAUCCGCCUGUGGAGUACCGUCGCGAGACUGACACUCAAAGGAAUUGACCG
This 828-nucleotide ribosomal RNA is filed under the name uncultured bacterium. RNAcentral describes it as "bacterial SSU rRNA". It matches the Rfam family "Bacterial small subunit ribosomal RNA", at positions 58 to 916 of the family's 1533-position model. The record is from RNAcentral.